UACGUAGGGUGCGAGCGUUGUCCGGAAUUAUUGGGCGUAAAGAGCUCGUAGGCGGUGUGUCGCGUCGGCCGUGAAAACCUGCAGCUUAACUGUGGGCUUGCGGUCGAUACGGGCAUCACUGGAGUUCGGCAGGGGAGACUGGGAUUCCUGGUGUAGCGGUGGAAUGCGCAGAUAUCAGGAGGAACACCGGUGGCGAAGGCGGGUCUCUGGGCAGUAACUGACGCUGAGGAGCGAAAGCGUGGGGAGCGAACAGG
RNAcentral lists this ribosomal RNA (254 nucleotides) under uncultured bacterium. RNAcentral describes it as "partial 16S ribosomal RNA". It matches the Rfam family "Bacterial small subunit ribosomal RNA", at positions 524 to 776 of the family's 1533-position model. The record is from RNAcentral.